UUGGGUUCACGUCCAACGGUGGGGGUUGCGACCGAGCUCGCAACCGGAGUCGUCCAUAUCGGACCAUGCACAUGUGGUGUGCAGGUUGGCCGAGCUCGUGUCCAAAGGCGGAGGCCAUGGAUAGAUCACGGAAUUAAUUUUUUAUUGCCUUGGUGAAUUUGGCGUCGGAGCAGUAGAUGCUGUCGUGCCUUGAUUUUUUUGGCACUCCAUGGUAAUGU
RNAcentral lists this long non-coding RNA (218 nucleotides) under Hordeum vulgare. RNAcentral describes it as "long non-coding RNA (HVUL_LNC015342)". The record is from RNAcentral. Lineage: Eukaryota; Viridiplantae; Streptophyta; Magnoliopsida; Poales; Poaceae.